AACGAACGCUGGCGGCAUGCUUAACACAUGCAAGUCGAACGCCUGGUCCUUUCAAGCGUCGCUUUUCAGUUUUGUUUUCUUUUGCCUUAUUCAGGCGGCCGACUGGCCGCCCGCGAUAGCCCGCACGGCAGCGCAGCCGCCGUGCGAUACGGCGUUAUUGCGUAAGCCAAGCGCACGGAGGUGCGCGCCGGCGAUUGAGGCGCAACAAAGAAAGCCUGGCCCCGCACGGGGUUGGAGAGAAGAGCGGCGGCGUUUGAAUGGGCCAGGAGUGGCGGACGGGUGAGUAACGCGUGGGAACCUGCCCUAUGGUACGGGAUAACGUUGGGAAACUGACGCUAAUACCGUAUGUGUCCUGAGGGAGAAAGAUUUAUCGCCAUAGGAUGGGCCCGCGUCGGAUUAGGUAGUUGGUAGGGUAACGGCCUACCAAGGCGACGACGCAUAGCCGGACUGAGAGGUUGGCCGGCCACAUUGGGACUGAGACACUGCCCAGACUCCUACGGGGGGCUGCAGUAACGAAUCUUCCGCAAUGCACGAAAGUGUGACGGAGCGACG
Molecule: ribosomal RNA, 552 nt
Filed under: uncultured bacterium
Lineage: Bacteria
Description: bacterial SSU rRNA
Rfam family: Bacterial small subunit ribosomal RNA
Source: RNAcentral